RNAcentral lists this ribosomal RNA (482 nucleotides) under uncultured bacterium. RNAcentral's name for it is "bacterial SSU rRNA". It matches the Rfam family "Bacterial small subunit ribosomal RNA", at positions 66 to 543 of the family's 1533-position model. The record is from RNAcentral.
ACGGCAGCGCGGGGGCAACCCUGGCGGCGAGUGGCGGACGGGUGAGGAAUACAUCGGAAUCUACCCUGUCGUGGGGGAUAACUAGCCGAAAGGUUAGCUAAUACCGCAUACGACCGAGAGGUGAAAGCGGAGGACCGCAAGGCUUCGCGCGAUUGGAUGAGCCGAUGUCGGAUUAGCUAGUUGGCGGGGUAAAGGCCCACCAAGGCGACGAUCCGUAGCUGGUCUGAGAGGAUGAUCAGCCACACUGGGACUGAGACACGGCCCAGACUCCUACGGGAGGCAGCAGUGGGGAAUAUUGGACAAUGGGCGCAAGCCUGAUCCAGCAAUGCCGCGUGUGUGAAGAAGGCCUUCGGGUUGUAAGGCACUUUUAUCAGGAACGAAAAGUCUUCGGUUAAUACCCGGGGAUGCUGACGGUACCUGAGGAAUAAGCACCGGCUAACUUCGUGCCAGCAGCCGCGGUAAUACGAAGGGUGCAAGCGUUA